This is a long non-coding RNA of Rosa chinensis, 577 nucleotides long. RefSeq lists it as uncharacterized. Lineage: Eukaryota; Viridiplantae; Streptophyta; Magnoliopsida; Rosales; Rosaceae. The record is from RefSeq and is a predicted model, not a curated record. The transcript is spliced from 3 exons.
GGAAAUGGAAGCUAUUGCCGUUAUUGUUCUUGGUAUCGGUUUAGUUGGUGGUUACCGGCAGUAUUGCAAGAAGCGUGAUCUGGUUUCUCUAAAUAAAGAUUUCGAACUUAAAAGAUGGUGGCGUUUCAGGCGUCAAUUUGUUCCACAAGAGACGUUCAUUGAUCCUCCCGAGAGUUCUUGACAUCCAGAAGACACAUAAUCAAUCAGGUAAUCGAUGAAUACUUCAAGCCAUCCAAUGAUGGAUCAGAGGAAGACUCGUCUCGGAUUCUAGUUAAUUAGUAGGUAGCUAGAAAGGAUUGGAGCCACCUAGAAACGACAACAUUAUAAUAACAACGUACUCUAUAUGCUUGUUGUUAUCAACAGUCUUUCACAACAGGCAAAGAAUGUGCUUUUUAGAAACUAUUACCCCCACAUGCAUCAUUUGCAUAUUUGGUUAUCAAUAACUUACCUCUUGCACGUUUUAAUCAGCAAGUUGUCAAUUAAUUUAUCAAGAAGUAGGCGUGAAUGUUGAUAAAACUUAGAAAAACAGCAGACAAUUGUGUAGGAAUGUUGCCGCUUUAAUCUAAAUUUUAGUGCA